AUAUACGCAGGCAAGCCGCAAGUGACCGCAUCUUUCCGGAUUUCUCUCCUCCCCAUUCCGGUGGUGACGGUGGCAGCGGAAUCCCUCAGCGUGGUCAUCCCUCUCCUAGUGGCGGCGAGCCCUCUCCUAUCCAGAGGCGGCGGCGUCCCCCUCGGCUCGCACGGUAGGCCCCCUGGCGGCACUCCUAUCCAGAGGCGGCGGCGGCCCCCUCGGCUCGCACGGUCGGCCCCCUGGCGGCGGUAGCCAUCCUGGCGGUGCUUGUCCCCGCACACGGCGGCCCCCGAAGGCUGGGGAGACGACGACGCAGCCAUGGCGUUGGCGCCUUCUUCAGACCCGCAGAGGUAGGAAAAUUCAUUUUUACUCCCGGUAUUAUUUACUCCUACCAGGUAGUCGCACGGCGUCGCUGCUAACGGCCGUUCCUCCGUCGACGACUGUCUCCACAACCCACCGCACGCUGCGGCCCCUCACUCCGACAGCGGCCGGAACGGCGGCGAGCCCCCUCCCCACCCCUGACACGGCAGAUCUAGAUCAUUCGGACGGUGACCUUGGGCUAUUGAUGGAUAACGACGUGUGGAUCUCCUCUCCGGCCGCGCUGACAUGAACCAGGAAUAAACUCUCGUUUGCAAGCUGCUCCUCUCCUUACAUUUUCCAAAUCAAAGAGGAAUUCAUUAUCUGUGACACUACCAGGAAAAGAUCAUACUAUUUUUCUUGUUUUUUUAGAUGAUGAUAGUAUCAGGCGAUACUCUUUUCUUCGGAUUAGAAGUCUGCAUACCAAUAGUAUGAUCUUAUUUUAAUUUUUCUGGUAUGUACAUAUACUCGAUUGCAAAUUCAUGUGUACGUACUCCCACAUGCUGUAUGAUGUAUAUAAAUUAAUUAUCCAUGUAAAAAUAAAAAAAUUGGUGUACAUAUAUAUACUAUCUUCUAAGUGUC
Long non-coding RNA from Sorghum bicolor (sorghum), 930 nucleotides. RefSeq lists it as uncharacterized. The transcript has 2 exons. The record is from RefSeq and is a predicted model, not a curated record. Lineage: Eukaryota; Viridiplantae; Streptophyta; Magnoliopsida; Poales; Poaceae.